UACGUAGGGUGCAAGCGUUGUCCGGAUUUAUUGGGCGUAAAGAGCUCGUAGGCGGCUUGGCAAGUCGGGUGUGAAAACUUCAGGCUCAACCUGGAGAUGCCACUCGAUACUGCUAUGGCUUGAGUCUGGUAGGGGAGCACGGAAUUCCUGGUGUAGCGGUGAAAUGCGCAGAUAUCAGGAGGAACACCGAUGGCGAAGGCAGGUCACUGGGCCGCAACUGACGCUGAGGAGCGAAAGCAUGGGGAGCGAACAGG
RNAcentral lists this ribosomal RNA (254 nucleotides) under uncultured bacterium. Its description in RNAcentral is "partial 16S ribosomal RNA". It matches the Rfam family "Bacterial small subunit ribosomal RNA", at positions 524 to 776 of the family's 1533-position model. The record is from RNAcentral.